GUUUUUCACUUUUCAAAAUGACAUUGAAUCUCAUCUGGUCUUGAAAGCUAAGCAGGGUCAGGCCUGGCUAGUGCUUGGAUGGCAGACUGCCUGGGAAUCCUAGAUGCUGUAGGCU
Molecule: ribosomal RNA, 115 nt
Filed under: Microcebus murinus (gray mouse lemur)
Lineage: Eukaryota; Metazoa; Chordata; Mammalia; Primates; Cheirogaleidae
Source: RNAcentral